GUAGGGCAAUGUGAGUUACCCUCCUCUAUCUUGUUCUAAAAUAUUGGGACAAUGUUUAGUUCAAGCGUGGGGGAGGUUUAAUUAUGCUUUGAGUCUUUAUGUUUUCUUUUUAUAUUUUUUUAUUUUAUUAUUUCCCAUUUUAUUUAUUGUUUUCAAUUUGGUUUGUCUUUACUGUUGGGUAUCAUUUAUUACAUGUAUUUCAAGUUCUUGGUGUUAUUGUUGGAUUAGGCAUGACCAAUAAUGGUAGUGGAUG
This 253-nucleotide long non-coding RNA is filed under the name Lathyrus oleraceus (garden pea). RNAcentral describes it as "Pisum sativum (pea) long non-coding RNA (PSAT_LNC001037)". The record is from RNAcentral. Lineage: Eukaryota; Viridiplantae; Streptophyta; Magnoliopsida; Fabales; Fabaceae.